Cryphonectria parasitica EP155 is the source of this 104-nucleotide non-coding RNA. The record is from the annotation of a RefSeq genome assembly. Lineage: Eukaryota; Fungi; Ascomycota; Sordariomycetes; Diaporthales; Cryphonectriaceae.
GGCAAUGUAGCCAAGUGGUUACGGCGCUGGCCUGCUAAUUCCUCAGCGGAUUAUCAGAGAAGCCAGUCUCUUCGGAGGCGCAGGUUCGAAUCCUGUCAUUGUCG